Molecule: long non-coding RNA, 3113 nt
Organism: Neoarius graeffei (lesser salmon catfish)
Lineage: Eukaryota; Metazoa; Chordata; Actinopteri; Siluriformes; Ariidae
Exons: 4
Source: RefSeq, a predicted model, not a curated record
AAGAGGAAGAAGAAUCCGAAGCGGGAUAGAAGAGAAAAUGGGGAAAAAAGAAGAUAAAGACAUAAAACGCAAGAAAUCUGCUGCUACUUUGUCCCAAAAUAUUGGCGCCAUGUUCCAAAAAAGGGCCAAAAUGGAUUGGAACUGAUGAGUGUUCUGAUGCCAUAAACAACAACUGAAGUGAGCAACAGAGACAGACAACAACAGACAGACAAUGAAGGAGAGCAACAACAGACAGACAGAGGAGGGGAGUGCAACAACAGAGACAGACAAUGAAGGAGAGCAACAACAGAGACAGACAAUGAAGGAGAGCAACAACAGAGACAGACAAUGAAGGAGAGCAACAACAGACAGACAAUGAAGGAGAGCAACAACAGACAGACAAUGAAGGAGAGCAACAACAGACAGACAAUGAAGGAGAGCAACAACAGACAGACAAUGAAGGAGAGCAACAACAGACAGACAGAGGAGGGGAGAGCAACAACAGAGACAGACAAUGAAGGAGAGCAACAGAGACAGACAAUGAAGGAGAGCAACAACAGAGACAGACAAUGAAGGAGAGCAACAACAGACAGACAAUGAAGGAGAGCAACAGAGGCAAUGGAAGAGAGAAACAACAGAUAGACAAUAAAGGAGAGCAACAGAGACAGACAAUGAAGGAGAGCAGACAAUGAAGGAGAGCAACAACAGAGACAGACAAUGAAGGAGAGCAACAACAGACAAACAAUGGAGAGCAACAGAGACAGGCAAUAGAAGAGAGAAACAACAGAUAGACAAUGAAAGAGCAACAACAGACAACUGAGUAGCAUACUUUCCACCAGCACCCUGUUGACCAACAGUACUGGAGGCAGUCGUUGUUAACCCUGGCCCCGACCGAUCUGGUAUGGUAUUUCUCUUUUCAAUCCUUAUGUUAGAUUUGGCACGUUUUACGCCGGAUCCCCUUCCUGACACAACCCUCUCCAAUUUAUCCGGGACCGGCACCAAGAGUAUGCUUAUGUACCCCCAGUGGCUGGAUUUUUUUGGCUAACAAAAGGAUUUAUGAAUUUUGUCCAAAAAUUUCACGAGAAUUGUGUCACUUGCACCACACACAACAUAGGUCGGGAGCAAAAGGUAGCACAGGCUGCACACCUACAGCUAGAGACACCAUUUGAACAUUUGCAGAUGGAUUUUAUUGAAUUGACACCCACAGAAGGGAAAAAAAUAGUGUCUGGUAAUAGUAGAUAUGUUCUCUAAAUGGGUAGAGGCAUUCCCCACUUCCAAACAAGAUGCAGGAGCUGUAGUGAAAGCUCUGCUAACUGAAAUCAUUCCCAGAUGGGGCAUUCCUAGGAAGAUUAAUAGUGAUAAUGGAACUCUGUUUGUAAAUCAGGCGUUGAAACAGGUGGGAGAAACAUUGGGAAUUGACCUGAAACAACAUUGUGCAUAUCAACCAGCUCGAGGGGUGCAGUAGAGUGGGAAAAUGGUAGCACAAAAAGAAAUUGGCUAAAUGUUGCAAAUAUACGGGCCUUUAUUGGGUUAAGGUCCUGCCCAUUGUACUCUUGUAUAUGCAUACAAGAGUCAGAGCAAGAACAAACUUGAGCCAUUUGAAAUACUCUUUGGCAGACCGCCAAAUACUGGGAUAGGCCCCCAGCCAAUUCCACAGUUGACUAUGGGCCUAUGCGAAGAUGAAAUGUUGUGUUAUUGUGCAGAACUAUCUUCUGUAUUAUGUCUCACCCCUGAACAGAUGAAGGAGACACUACCAAGGACAGCUGAAACCACGCUACAUGAUUUGAAGCCUGGGGAUUAGAUAGUGGCAAAAGACUUCAGGAGAAAACGCUGGAGAGACCAAAGGUGGCUUGGACCAUAUCAGGUGUUGCUCACAACUCAGACAGCUGUGAAGGUGAAGGAAAGAGCCAUGUGGAUACACACCUGCCACUGCAAGAGAGGACAAGACAUAGGCAUGAGCAAGCCUGUGACGACAGUGGCAAGGAAAAACUCCCUCAGACGACAUGAGGAAGAAACCUCGAGAGGAACCAGACUCAAAAGGGAACCCAACCUCAUUUGGGCAACAACAGACAGCAUGACUAUAAUAUUAACAGUUUUAACAUGAAGACAGUUUCGUUGAUGUAACUCUUCAUUGAUGGAAACCUGAAUGCAAAACUGUUCAUGACAACUGCAGUCCUAAGUUAGCAAGUCAACUGUAGUCCUCAGCCAUAAAAGCAUUACUGUAAGAGUCCAGAGCGUCCUCCAGGUGUGACUUUCAACUGUCCUCAUGGGGUCAUCCUCCUCAUGGGGUCAUCCUCCACAGGAGCGACGCGACGAGACUCCUACCAGACACAGGACACCAGGAUGGAUCAAGCAGGUCCAAGGAGCAGAAGAGGUCAGCAUCUCGAUCCCAGGACCAACAUGUAACUCAGAGAAACAGAUUUGUGGGGAGGGGGAGAGAGAGAGGGAGAGAAAACACAGGUUGUUAGGUAUGCCCAAUGUCACCUGAAUAAGUAGGAACAGUAUUGUAGGUGUAAUUAAUGAUUUUGUGUAUUUAGGAUUGGAUAAGUGAUCAAUCUUUAAUAAUUACAUGAAAUCAGUCUCAUUGAAUCAUUUGAAGUGAAUCAUUCAAAUGAAUCGAAUCAGUGAAUCAUUUAGUGAAUCAGUGAAUCAUUUUGUGAAUCAUACCAUUAAUCCUGGUACUUAAUAAUAAAUUACCAAACAGCUAAAAUGGUAUCUUCCAAAUUAUUAUUGAUCACUUACCAUAUUACAUAAAUCAUCUGCACCUUUUUUUGAAUUCUUUGGGAGAUUGGGCAACUUCAAAGUAUCGUAACAGCAGAUAGACACCACACAUAAUUUCAAUAAUAAUGGAGUUUAUUAUAACAAAGAUAAUAAAAAAUUAAUAAAAAGAAAAGAAAAAAAUUGAACAAUUUAAUAGCAGCAGAAUUGAAUCUUCUGUAAACAGAGUGUGUGUGUGUGUGAGAGAGAGACUAGCUUAGGAGGCUAAUCAGACAAAGAGAUGCUAACCAGCAUGUGCUUCAAAUCUAGCAGACCAUGUGGUUAGCUUGUAGGCUAAUCAGACAAAGGAAAAGCUAGCUACAUAUACUUUCAGGCCUAGUGUGUAAAAGCUGAAGGCUUUAAUUAAAAAUAAACAU